GUCGGUGAUCUUACCGCGGGGGUUCCACCCGUUCCCAUCCCGAACACGGAAGUUAAGCCCCGGGCAUUAAAUAAAAGCCAUGCUGAGAAAUCAGCAUGGCCUUUU
RNAcentral lists this ribosomal RNA (105 nucleotides) under Acidobacteriota bacterium. Lineage: Bacteria; Pseudomonadati; Acidobacteriota. The record is from RNAcentral.